GGCGUGCCUCGGCAUCAG
This 18-nucleotide small nuclear RNA is filed under the name Arabidopsis thaliana (thale cress). RNAcentral's name for it is "snRNA_05530". The record is from RNAcentral. Lineage: Eukaryota; Viridiplantae; Streptophyta; Magnoliopsida; Brassicales; Brassicaceae.